UCAAGAAAAUUUGGCAAUGGGCGAAAGCCUGACCAUGCGACGCCGCGUGGUUGAUGAAGUCCUUCGGGACGUAAAGACCUUUUAUGAGGGAGGAAGUAAUUGACGUUACCUCAUGAAUAAGGGGCUCCUAACUCUGUGCCAGCAGGAGCGGUAAUACAGAGGCCCCGAGCGUUAUCCGGAAUCACUGGGCGUAAAGGGUGUGUAGGCGGCAGUAUUAGUCCUUCGUGAAAGGCCACUGGCUUAACCAGAGGACCGCGGGGGAAACGGUACGGCUUAGAGGACGCGAGAGGUAGAGGGAACUCAUGGUGUAGGGGUGAAAUCCGUUGAUAUCAUGGGGAACACCAAAUGCGAAGGCACUCUACUGGCGCGCUCCUGACGCUGAGACACGAAAGCGUGGGGAUCGAACGGGAUUAGAUACCCGCGUAGUCC
This 429-nucleotide ribosomal RNA is filed under the name uncultured bacterium. RNAcentral describes it as "bacterial SSU rRNA". It matches the Rfam family "Bacterial small subunit ribosomal RNA", at positions 355 to 796 of the family's 1533-position model. The record is from RNAcentral.